Molecule: ribosomal RNA, 292 nt
Filed under: uncultured bacterium
Lineage: Bacteria
Also listed under: 1 other name
Description: partial 16S ribosomal RNA
Source: RNAcentral
GGACUACCGGGGUAUCUAAUCCCGUUUGCUCCCCUGGCUUUCGCGCCUCAGCGUCAGGUGAGGUCCAGCACGCCGCUUUCGCCACCGGCGUUCCUUCCGAUAUCUACGCAUUUCACCGCUCCACCGGAAGUUCCGCAUGCCCCUACCUCCCUCGAGCUGUCCAGUAUCGGGAGCCCUUGUCCGGUUGGGCCGAACGAUUUCACUCCCGACUAUGACAGCCGCCUACGCGCCCUUUAAGCCCAGUGAAUCCGAACAACGUUCGCACGGUUCGUCUUACCGCGGCUGCUGGCAC